Molecule: non-coding RNA, 895 nt
Filed under: Metallus mai
Lineage: Eukaryota; Metazoa; Arthropoda; Insecta; Hymenoptera; Tenthredinidae
Source: RNAcentral
UUUUUAUAUUAUAUAUAUAUAUAUAUAUAAUAUUCAUAAGUUAUUUAAUUUUUAUAAAGUUUGAUUUUAGCUUAUUUAAUUAUUUUAAGAUUUUUAUACAUGUAAAUUUUUGUGUGAAUUAUUAUAAAAAUUAUUUUUUUAGAAAAAUAAAUAUAAUUUGUUUAAUUUAAAAUUUAAAUUUGCAGUAUAUAAAUUUAAUAAUUAAAGUAAUUUAGAAUUAUUAAUUUUUUAUUUAUACAAGUAAAAAAUGUGCCAGCAACUGCGGUUAUACAUUUUGUAUUAGUAAUUAUUAUUUAUACUUAUAAAAAUUAUUUUAAAUAAAAAUUUUUAUUUUAAUGUAAAUUAGGUGAAAUUAUUUAUAUUAUUAAAAUUAUUUUUAAUUAAAUAGUUUUUUAUUAUAUUUUAAAUAUAAACUAGGAUUAGAUACCCUAUUAUUUAAAAUUAAAAAAAUUUAUUAUAGAAGAUUAAUAGUUAAAGUCUUUAAAUUUAAAAAAAUUGGCGGUAUUUAAAUCUAAUCAGGGGAACUUGUUUUUUUAAAAUGAUAAUCCUCAAGGCACCUUACUUUAAUUUUUAAUUUAUUUAUUGUCGUUAUCAGAUUAUUUUGAAAAAAAAUAAAUUUUCUUAAAUAUUUAAAUAUAUUUAUUUCAGAUCAUUAUGUAGUUUAUAUUAAAGUUGAAAUGAGUUACAAUAAUUUAUAUUUAUUUAUGGAUAUAUAAUUGAAAUAUUAUAUUGAAAGUGGACUUGGUAGUAAAUAAAAAUUAUUAAGUUUUAUUGAAUUAAGAAUUAAAUAUGUACAUAUCGCCCGUCACUCUCAUUUUAAAAUGAGAUAAGUCGUAACAAAGUAGAUGUACUGGAAAGUGUAUCUAGAAAGUAAAUUUAUAAGUUUAAUUUUUUU